This 2871-nucleotide ribosomal RNA is filed under the name Salmonella enterica subsp. enterica serovar Typhimurium. Its description in RNAcentral is "partial 23S ribosomal RNA". It matches the Rfam family "Bacterial large subunit ribosomal RNA". The record is from RNAcentral. Lineage: Bacteria; Pseudomonadati; Pseudomonadota; Gammaproteobacteria; Enterobacterales; Enterobacteriaceae.
GGGUUGUGAGGUUAAGCGACUAAGCGUACACGGUGGAUGCCCUGGCAGUCAGAGGCGAUGAAGGGCGUGCUAAUCUGCGAUAAGCGCCGGUAAGGUGAUAUGAACCGUUAUAACCGGCGAUACCCGAAUGGGGAAACCCAGUGUGAUUCGUCACACUAUCAUUAACUGAAUCCAUAGGUUAAUGAGGCGAACCGGGGGAACUGAAACAUCUAAGUACCCCGAGGAAAAGAAAUCAACCGAGAUUCCCCCAGUAGCGGCGAGCGAACGGGGAGGAGCCCAGAGCCUGAAUCAGCAUGUGUGUUAGUGGAAGCGUCUGGAAAGGCGCGCGAUACAGGGUGACAGCCCCGUACACAAAAGCGCAUGUGCUGUGAGCUCGAUGAGUAGGGCGGGACACGUGGUAUCCUGUCUGAAUAUGGGGGGACCAUCCUCCAAGGCUAAAUACUCCUGACUGACCGAUAGUGAACCAGUACCGUGAGGGAAAGGCGAAAAGAACCCCGGCGAGGGGAGUGAAAAAGAACCUGAAACCGUGUACGUACAAGCAGUGGGAGCACCCUUCGGGGUGUGACUGCGUACCUUUUGUAUAAUGGGUCAGCGACUUAUAUUCUGUAGCAAGGUUAACCGUAUAGGGGAGCCGGAGGGAAACCGAGUCUUAACCGGGCGUUAAGUUGCAGGGUAUAGACCCGAAACCCGGUGAUCUAGCCAUGGGCAGGUUGAAGGUUGGGUAACACUAACUGGAGGACCGAACCGACUAAUGUUGAAAAAUUAGCGGAUGACCUGUGGCUGGGGGUGAAAGGCCAAUCAAACCGGGAGAUAGCUGGUUCUCCCCGAAAGCUAUUUAGGUAGCGCCUCGUGAAUUCAUCUCCGGGGGUAGAGCACUGUUUCGGCUAGGGGGCCAUCCCGGCUUACCAACCCGAUGCAAACUGCGAAUACCGGAGAAUGUUAUCACGGGAGACACACGGCGGGUGCUAACGUCCGUCGUGAAGAGGGAAACAACCCAGACCGCCAGCUAAGGUCCCAAAGUCAUGGUUAAGUGGGAAACGAUGUGGGAAGGCCCAGACAGCCAGGAUGUUGGCUUAGAAGCAGCCAUCAUUUAAAGAAAGCGUAAUAGCUCACUGGUCGAGUCGGCCUGCGCGGAAGAUGUAACGGGGCUAAACCAUGCACCGAAGCUGCGGCAGCGAACGUAUCACCCAAGACAACUUUACGGAGUUGACGAUUGACGGAGCGAAGCGACGUCAAAGCGUUCAUUAAAGUCGAGUUGGCUUAGGGAUACGUUCGUUGGGUAGGGGAGCGUUCUGUAAGCCUGUGAAGGUGUGUCGUGAGGCAUGCUGGAGGUAUCAGAAGUGCGAAUGCUGACAUAAGUAACGAUAAAGCGGGUGAAAAGCCCGCUCGCCGGAAGACCAAGGGUUCCUGUCCAACGUUAAUCGGGGCAGGGUGAGUCGACCCCUAAGGCGAGGCCGAAAGGCGUAGUCGAUGGGAAACGGGUUAAUAUUCCCGUACUUGGUGUUACUGCGAAGGGGGGACGGAGAAGGCUAUGUUGGCCGGGCGACGGUUGUCCCGGUUUAAGCGUGUAGGUGUGUGUUCCAGGUAAAUCCGGUUCACUUUAACACUGAGGCGUGACGACGAGGCACUACGGUGCUGAAGCAACAAAUGCCCUGCUUCCAGGAAAAGCCUCUAAGCAUCAGGUAACAUCAAAUCGUACCCCAAACCGACACAGGUGGUCAGGUAGAGAAUACCAAGGCGCUUGAGAGAACUCGGGUGAAGGAACUAGGCAAAAUGGUGCCGUAACUUCGGGAGAAGGCACGCUGACACGUAGGUGAAGUGAUUUACUCAUGGAGCUGAAGUCAGUCGAAGAUACCAGCUGGCUGCAACUGUUUAUUAAAAACACAGCACUGUGCAAACACGAAAGUGGACGUAUACGGUGUGACGCCUGCCCGGUGCCGGAAGGUUAAUUGAUGGGGUCAGCGCAAGCGAAGCUCCUGAUCGAAGCCCCGGUAAACGGCGGCCGUAACUAUAACGGUCCUAAGGUAGCGAAAUUCCUUGUCGGGUAAGUUCCGACCUGCACGAAUGGCGUAAUGAUGGCCAGGCUGUCUCCACCCGAGACUCAGUGAAAUUGAACUCGCUGUGAAGAUGCAGUGUACCCGCGGCAAGACGGAAAGACCCCGUGAACCUUUACUAUAGCUUGACACUGAACAUUGAGCCUUGAUGUGUAGGAUAGGUGGGAGGCUUUGAAGUGUGGACGCCAGUCUGCAUGGAGCCGACCUUGAAAUACCACCCUUUAAUGUUUGAUGUUCUAACGUGGACCCGUAAUCCGGGUUGCGGACAGUGUCUGGUGGGUAGUUUGACUGGGGCGGUCUCCUCCUAAAGAGUAACGGAGGAGCACGAAGGUUGGCUAAUCCUGGUCGGACAUCAGGAGGUUAGUGCAAUGGCAUAAGCCAGCUUGACUGCGAGCGUGACGGCGCGAGCAGGUGCGAAAGCAGGUCAUAGUGAUCCGGUGGUUCUGAAUGGAAGGGCCAUCGCUCAACGGAUAAAAGGUACUCCGGGGAUAACAGGCUGAUACCGCCCAAGAGUUCAUAUCGACGGCGGUGUUUGGCACCUCGAUGUCGGCUCAUCACAUCCUGGGGCUGAAGUAGGUCCCAAGGGUAUGGCUGUUCGCCAUUUAAAGUGGUACGCGAGCUGGGUUUAGAACGUCGUGAGACAGUUCGGUCCCUAUCUGCCGUGGGCGCUGGAGAACUGAGGGGGGCUGCUCCUAGUACGAGAGGACCGGAGUGGACGCAUCACUGGUGUUCGGGUUGUCAUGCCAAUGGCACUGCCCGGUAGCUAAAUGCGGAAGAGAUAAGUGCUGAAAGCAUCUAAGCACGAAACUUGCCCCGA